GGUUGUGUCUCAGUGGUAAAGCACUUGCCUAGAAUGUGUGAGACACUGGGUUCAAUUCCCAGCACCA
This 67-nucleotide transfer RNA is filed under the name Marmota monax (woodchuck). Its description in RNAcentral is "tRNA.Ser". Lineage: Eukaryota; Metazoa; Chordata; Mammalia; Rodentia; Sciuridae. The record is from RNAcentral.